RNAcentral lists this ribosomal RNA (497 nucleotides) under uncultured bacterium. Its description in RNAcentral is "partial 16S ribosomal RNA". It matches the Rfam family "Bacterial small subunit ribosomal RNA", at positions 28 to 507 of the family's 1533-position model. The record is from RNAcentral.
GAUGAACGCUGGCGGCGUGCCUAAUACAUGCAAGUCGAGCGAACGGACGAGAAGCUUGCUUCUCUGAUGUUAGCGGCGGACGGGUGAGUAACACGUGGAUAACCUACCUAUAAGACUGGGAUAACUUCGGGAAACCGGAGCUAAUACCGGAUAAUAUUUUGAACCGCAUGGUUCAAAAGUGAAAGACGGUCUUGCUGUCACUUAUAGAUGGAUCCGCGCUGCAUUAGCUAGUUGGUAAGGUAACGGCUUACCAAGGCAACGAUGCAUAGCCGACCUGAGAGGGUGAUCGGCCACACUGGAACUGAGACACGGUCCAGACGCCUACGGGAGGCAGAAGUAGGGAAUCUUCCGCAAUGGGCGAAAGCCUGACGGAGCAACGCCGCGUGAGUGAUGAAGGUCUUCGGAUCGUAAAACUCUGUUAUUAGGGAAGAACAUAUGUGUAAGUAACUGUGCACAUCUUGACGGUACCUAAUCAGAAAGCCACGGCUAACUACGUG